Molecule: ribosomal RNA, 567 nt
Filed under: uncultured Glomeromycotina
Lineage: Eukaryota; Fungi; Glomeromycota
Description: SSU rRNA
Rfam family: Eukaryotic small subunit ribosomal RNA
Source: RNAcentral
UUGGAGGGCAAGUCUGGUGCCCGCAGCCGCGGUAAUUCCAGCUCCAAUAGCGUAUAUUAAAGUUGUUGCAGUUAAAAAGCUCGUAGUUGAACUUCGGGGUCUACUCAUUGGUCAGGCCUAGGGCCUGUACUGGUGAGAUGGAUCUCUACCUUCUGAGGAACUUUCAUGCCAUUUAUUUGGUGUGAUUGGAAAUCAGGACUGUUACUUUGAAAAAAUUAGAGUGUUUAAAGCAGACUAUCGUCUGAAUACAUUAGCAUGGAAUAAUGAAAUAGGACGGACUGAUUCUAUUUCGUUGGUUUCUAGGAUCACCGUAAUGAUUAAUAGGGAUAGUUGGGGGCAUUAGUAUUCAAUUGUCAGAGGUGAAAUUCUUGGAUUUAUUGAAGACUAACUACUGCGAAAGCACUUGCCAAGGAUGUUUUCAUUAAUCCAGAACGAAAGUUAGGGGAUCGAAGACGAUCAGAUACCGUCGUAGUCUUAACCAUAAACUAUGCCGACUAGGGAUCGGACGAAGUUAAUUUUAUAAUGACACGUUCGGCACCUUACGGGAAACCAAAGUGUUUGGGWAUC